UACGUAGGUGGCAAGCGUUGUCCGGAUUUACUGGGCGUAAAGAGCGCGCAGGCGGUCGUUCAAGUCGCGUGUGAAAGCCCCCGGCUCAACUGGGGAGGGUCACUUGAUACUGAUCGACUCGAAGGCAGGAGAGGGAAGCGGAAUUCCCGGUGUAGUGGUGAAAUGCGUAGAUAUCGGGAGGAACACCCGUAGCGAAGGCGGCCGACUGGACCACACCUGACGCUGAGGCGCGAAGGCCAGGGGAGCGAACGGG
RNAcentral lists this ribosomal RNA (253 nucleotides) under uncultured bacterium. RNAcentral describes it as "partial 16S ribosomal RNA". It matches the Rfam family "Bacterial small subunit ribosomal RNA", at positions 524 to 776 of the family's 1533-position model. The record is from RNAcentral.